Molecule: unclassified non-coding RNA, 212 nt
Filed under: Hevea brasiliensis (rubber tree)
Lineage: Eukaryota; Viridiplantae; Streptophyta; Magnoliopsida; Malpighiales; Euphorbiaceae
Source: RNAcentral
AAGAAACUUCAUUUCAAUUUUACUAAACACAUACUCCAUAUGCAUUGAGGUUAUGUAUCUGUGCAUUAUAUACCUAUAUUGAGUGUUAUCUUAUAUUUCUGUUAUUAUUUUUAACUAUGUUAUUUUUACCAAAAAAACCACUAUUCUUGCUCUUAUGACUGCAAUUAAGCCAAAUUGAACCAAGCUUUAGCAUGUUUAGGCUUAGCCCGUUU